AUCGCUUCUCGGUCUUUUGACUAAGAUCAAAUGUAGUAUCUGUUCUUAUCACUUUAAUAUUUGAUAUACCCUCUACAUGGAGAUACCAUAUUUAACAUAUUUUGAGCAGUGGGAGGUGAAAAAUGGGGCUUGCUCUGUUCACUCCUGCCCACUGCUCCUGCACCCGGCCUGUGUGUGUUCACUA
Solea solea (common sole) is the source of this 184-nucleotide small nuclear RNA. RefSeq annotates it as U2 spliceosomal RNA. The record is from RefSeq and is a predicted model, not a curated record. Lineage: Eukaryota; Metazoa; Chordata; Actinopteri; Pleuronectiformes; Soleidae. The transcript has a single exon.